CAGGACAACAGAAGAAACUCACUGAAACUUGAAAAAAAAAUCGGAGCUUAACUUACUGUAACAAAAACUGAGCAACAUACUGUAUUGCUGGUGACAAAAACACAUAUUAAAACCUUUUUAGCUGUAAAAUGCGCAAUGGUCCUUUUUUUACUUUUUUAUUGAUUUUUAUUUUUUUCAUAGGCCUAGAUUUUUUUUUAUUUUUAUUACAGAAUUCAAUAUCAAGUCCUUGACACAUAACUGUAACACAUGUUCACAUUAAGAAACAAUUUAGUUUAAAUAAAAAGAACAACACAAAAUAAAUAAAUAAAUAAAUUAUUUAUUUAUUAGAGAUAGGCCUACAGAUUUUUUUUAUUUAUUUUUUUUUACUUUAGACUCUAAAGUUAAAAGUUUUUAUUAAGGUUAUUGUAAAGGCUGCUUAAAAAUGCUGUCGCUGAUGAGCCUCUUAUCGCUGUCAGAUUCUGUGAUAUGAAUGUCCGCGUUGGAUUGUGGCUAAUGGGCUUAGAAUGAGACCCGCUCGGCCCGUGUUCUGGCUUACUGUAAUAUUUCACCGGUAAUAAAAACCGAAAUAAUAUAAUUAAAAUAAAGAAAUGAAUGAAUACAAUGAUAACAUCUAAAUAAAUGUUGAUAGAUGUAGCGUUAUAGUUUAAAAAAUAUUAAUAAACAGCAAAUCAACACAGCUUCGAAAUAAUAACCGAAAAAGACCUAAAUAAUAAUAAUACAUAAUUAAUAUACAGCGCCGCCCCUCCCACCACGCGCAUCACGCGCCGUGCGUCAACCCAUUGUCACUCCCAAAGCGUCAAAAACUGAAGCGUGGUCAAGCGCCUCUAGCAUCACUGACAUGAGAUGUUUAUCGCUUUGAAAUCACGUUCAAGAAGUCUCAUUCAGCACACAUCGCGAUACUUGCCAUCAGUUUACAAGAGCCGCAGGUUGGGUGAGUUAUACAGUCUAUGCUGAAAAGACAUAAAGGAAGCAGUCACCCCAGUGGUGUUUGUGGAGAGGUAUUCCUUCAGAAAUGGAGAAGACAGAAAGCUGCAGAGGCAGGAUUGUUUGCAGAUAAUGCUGUUCUUCUUUUUUUCAGAAGUUUUUUUGGUGAGCCAACUCUCACAAACCUUCCUAAAAAAACUAAAAAGAGCUAUUACUGA
Molecule: long non-coding RNA, 1142 nt
Organism: Cyprinus carpio carpio
Lineage: Eukaryota; Metazoa; Chordata; Actinopteri; Cypriniformes; Cyprinidae
Source: Ensembl